CCUACGGGAUGCAGCAGGGGGGGAUAUUGCACAAUGGGCGCAAGCCUGAUGCAGCCAUGCCGCGUGUAAGAAGAAGGCCUUCGGGUUGUAAAGUACUUUCAGCGGGGAGGAAGGUGAUAAGGUUAAUAACCUUGUCGAUUGACGUUACCCGCAGAAGAAGCACCGGUUAACUCCGUGCCAGCAGCCGCGGUAAUACGGAGGGUGCAAGCGUUAAUCGGAAUUACUGGGCGUAAAGCGCACGCAGGCGGUCUGUCAAGUCGGAUGUGAAAUCCCCGGGCUCAACCUGGGAACUGCAUUCGAAACUGGCAGGCUAGAGUCUUGUAGAGGGGGGUAGAAUUCCAGGUGUAGCGGUGAAAUGCGUAGAGAUCUGGAGGAGUACCGGUGGCGAAGGCGGCCCCCUGGACAAGGACUGACGCUCAGGUGCGAAAGCGUGGGGAGCAAACAGGAUUAGAUACCCCUGUAGUC
This 465-nucleotide ribosomal RNA is filed under the name uncultured bacterium. Its description in RNAcentral is "bacterial SSU rRNA". It matches the Rfam family "Bacterial small subunit ribosomal RNA", at positions 338 to 795 of the family's 1533-position model. The record is from RNAcentral.